ACGUGGAUAACCUACCUAUAAGACUGGGAUAACUUCGGGAAACCGGAGCUAAUACCGGAUAAUAUAUUGAACCGCAUGGUUCAAUAGUGAAAGACGGUUUUGCUGUCACUUAUAGAUGGAUCCGCGCCGCAUUAGCUAGUUGGUAAGGUAACGGCUUACCAAGGCAACGAUGCGUAGCCGACCUGAGAGGGUGAUCGGCCACACUGGAACUGAGACACGGUCCAGACUCCUACGGGAGGCAGCAGUAGGGAAUCUUCCGCAAUGGGCGAAAGCCUGACGGAGCAACGCCGCGUGAGUGAUGAAGGUCUUCGGAUCGUAAAACUCUGUUAUUAGGGAAGAACAAAUGUGUAAGUAACUAUGCACGUCUUGACGGUACCUAAUCAGAAAGCCACGGCUAACUACGUGCCAGCAGCCGCGGUAAUACGUAGGUGGCAAGCGUUAUCCGGAAUUAUUGGGCGUAAAGCGCGCGUAGGCGGUUUUUUAAGUCUGAUGUGAAAGCCCACGGCUCAACCGUGGAGGGUCAUUGGAAACUGGAAAACUUGAGUGCAGAAGAGGAAAGUGGAAUUCCAUGUGUAGCGGUGAAAUGCGCAGAGAUAUGGAGGAACACCAGUGGCGAAGGCGACUUUCUGGUCUGUAACUGACGCUGAUGUGCGAAAGCGUGGGGAUCAAACAGGAUUAGAUACCCUGGUAGUCCACGCCGUAAACGAUGAGUGCUAAGUGUUAGGGGGGUUUCCGCCCCUUAGUGCUGCAGCUAACGCAUUAAGCACUCCGCCUGGGGAGUACGACCCCCAGGUUGAAACUCAAAGGAAUUGCCGGGGACCCGCACAAGCGGUGGAGCAUGUGGUUUAAUUCGAAGCAACGCGAAGAACCUUACCAAAUCUUGACAUCCUUUGACCCCUCUAGAGAUAGAGUUUUCCCCUUCGGGGGACAGAGUGACAGGUGGUGCAUGGUUGUCGUCAGCUCGUGUCGUGAGAUGUUGGGUUAAGUCCCGCAACGAGCGCAACCCUUAAGCUUAGUUGCCAUAAGUUGGGCACUCUAAGUUGACUGCCGGUGACAAACCGGAGGAAGGUGGGGAUGACGUCAAAUCAUCAUGCCCCUUAUGAUUUGGGCUACACACGUGCUACAAUGGACAAUACAAAGGGCAGCGAAACCGCGAGGUCAAGCAAAUCCCAUAAAGUUGUUCUCAGUUCGGAUUGUAGUCUGCAACUCGACUAUAUG
Molecule: ribosomal RNA, 1218 nt
Filed under: Staphylococcus epidermidis
Lineage: Bacteria; Bacillati; Bacillota; Bacilli; Caryophanales; Staphylococcaceae
Description: bacterial SSU rRNA
Rfam family: Bacterial small subunit ribosomal RNA
Source: RNAcentral